RNAcentral lists this long non-coding RNA (640 nucleotides) under Homo sapiens (human). Its description in RNAcentral is "HSALNT0089171". Lineage: Eukaryota; Metazoa; Chordata; Mammalia; Primates; Hominidae. The record is from RNAcentral.
GGGCGCACCUGACGCCGCACCGACCGCCAGCGCUCAGCCGGGGACUGGGCUGGGGACGUCUCCUCCCCCUUCUCCCUCUCCUUUCCCUCCUCCCUACAACCGGCCCUGCCCCCGGGCAUGCGCACCAACGUGGAAGGGGGUGCGGGAAGCCUGCGGGCCAGCGCCGCGAGUCCCACCUGCUGCGUCCUAGACCGGCUCCUCGUGUACAAUGUCUAUGUAAGCACAACAAGAAAGCAACUUAACUGCCUGCAGCAUCAGACCAAGUUCCUGGAUCAUAAGUUUGAAAGCAGCUUCUAGAUGACGCUUGUGGAUAUUUGGAAUAAUAUCUACUAAUUUCUGUUAAGCAGCUAUGUUUCAACUCCACUUCAAUAAAAACAGCCAAAUUUCUCUCCUGGAAAUUCUUAAAACUCAAAGAAACUCUGAUUCUUUCAAGUGUUAGUAUGAUGACCUAAUUUUGUGCCUAACUCCUCUUAUAUAGAAAGGAACAAAUAUUUGAUAUUCAUCUUCAUUGUUUUCUGUGGGUUGGUUUCCUGUUAUUUUUUCCCUUUGUCUAGGGGAAAGGAGUAAAGAAAACUUCCUUGUUAAACUGCUACUAUAAGGAACACGUUUGAAGAAAUAAACACAGAAAGCAAGUGAGUUU